Lemur catta (Ring-tailed lemur) is the source of this 1173-nucleotide long non-coding RNA. RefSeq lists it as uncharacterized. The record is from RefSeq and is a predicted model, not a curated record. NCBI's taxonomy places the organism in Eukaryota, Metazoa, Chordata, Mammalia, Primates, Lemuridae. The transcript is spliced from 4 exons.
CUGAAUUGUAAUUUUAAAAUAGCUAAUUUUAUGUUAUGUGAAUUUUAUUUCAAUAAACCAUUUUUUAAAAAUUCCAGGAAAUAUUUGAGACUGGCUUGAGGCAAACUUUCUCCAGUCUCAGAAAACUAUCUCUCAUCAGAAAAUUCCACGGGAAUAUCCAAUGUAUUGUUGCCUAAUGGUUCAUAAUAAUGUAACUUCUUUCUCCAGGAACAGUUGCAUCACCUGUUCCAAUCACUUUACACCAAAUAUGACUCUAGCAAUGCCACAGGUAAUGUAAGUCAAGUUGUCAUAAGGCAAUUAUUGAUCCAGGGUUACCAAGGUAAGUUUACAACAUCACAGGUUUUAAAAAAGGACCCAACACAAAAUAUUUACAAAGAAGCUUCCCCACAAACAUAAUGAGUAUAAAGUAAAUCCCCUUCCAUGACACCAGGAUUCUGUAUCUGGCAAGUGACAACACAUGAUGGUGUGGGGGCAGGAGGGUAUGUGGGUGAGCUGGGGAAGCCAUAGGGGCAUAUCUUCCCCAAGGGUACAUUUUAUAAGCAUAAAAUUUAAAAAACAGAAAUGAAAGGAAGAAGGUUCUCUAAAUUGAUUAUUUUAUGGACCUUCUUGAGAAAAGUGAUUUGGGGCUGAUUGAUUUUAAUGACACAUUAAUCACAUAUGCUUAAUGGUAGGGUCUCAGGGUAGAGGAGACCCAUUUGGGACUGUUUUCUAAGUCUACAACCAAAUAUUUCCUGAACCUGCUCGUUCCACAGAUCCCUUUGACUCUCCUUCUGUUGCUCUCAGAAUAAAGAGAAAAGAAUGCGAAUGAAGGGAUGCCAAUUACUAAUUGAGUGGCAAGUGAUACUGACUGAAAUUGGCAGAAUGGGAUUAAUGGGAUAAAAGUACUUUUUGUUACGUGGGUGAAUCGUGUAAUGCUGAAGUCAAUGCUUUUAGUGUACCUGUCACCAGAAUAGUAUACAUUAUGCCUGAUAGUACUCCAUGGUGUAUACCAUGUUUUCUUUAUCCACUCAUCCGUUGAAGCCGUUAUUCCACCUGUGCAUGGAAGAUCUCCACACUACCUGUGUGUCAGGAUUUCUACUAUGCAGUAUAGCCUAUUAAACUUGGCAUGAAGACACUGAAGACAAAGGCUGUGAGAAUUUAACAGUAAGGAAGAGUUUUGCUGCCACCUAAUGG